UUUUAUGGAGAGUUUGAUCCUGGCUCAGGAUGAACGCUGGCGGCGUGCCUAAUACAUGCAAGUCGAGCGAACGGACGAGAAGCUUGCUUCUCUGAUGUUAGCGGCGGACGGGUGAGUAACACGUGGAUAACCUACCUAUAAGACUGGGAUAACUUCGGGAAACCGGAGCUAAUACCGGAUAAUAUUUUGAACCGCAUGGUUCAAAAGUGAAAGACGGUCUUGCUGUCACUUAUAGAUGGAUCCGCGCUGCAUUAGCUAGUUGGUAAGGUAACGGCUUACCAAGGCAACGAUGCAUAGCCGACCUGAGAGGGUGAUCGGCCACACUGGAACUGAGACACGGUCCAGACUCCUACGGGAGGCAGCAGUAGGGAAUCUUCCGCAAUGGGCGAAAGCCUGACGGAGCAACGCCGCGUGAGUGAUGAAGGUCUUCGGAUCGUAAAACUCUGUUAUUAGGGAAGAACAUAUGUGUAAGUAACUGUGCACAUCUUGACGGUACCUAAUCAGAAAGCCACGGCUAACUACGUGCCAGCAGCCGCGGUAAUACGUAGGUGGCAAGCGUUAUCCGGAAUUAUUGGGCGUAAAGCGCGCGUAGGCGGUUUUUUAAGUCUGAUGUGAAAGCCCACGGCUCAACCGUGGAGGGUCAUUGGAAACUGGAAAACUUGAGUGCAGAAGAGGAAAGUGGAAUUCCAUGUGUAGCGGUGAAAUGCGCAGAGAUAUGGAGGAACACCAGUGGCGAAGGCGACUUUCUGGUCUGUAACUGACGCUGAUGUGCGAAAGCGUGGGGAUCAAACAGGAUUAGAUACCCUGGUAGUCCACGCCGUAAACGAUGAGUGCUAAGUGUUAGGGGGUUUCCGCCCCUUAGUGCUGCAGCUAACGCAUUAAGCACUCCGCCUGGGGAGUACGACCGCAAGGUUGAAACUCAAAGGAAUUGACGGGGACCCGCACAAGCGGUGGAGCAUGUGGUUUAAUUCGAAGCAACGCGAAGAACCUUACCAAAUCUUGACAUCCUUUGACAACUCUAGAGAUAGAGCCUUCCCCUUCGGGGGACAAAGUGACAGGUGGUGCAUGGUUGUCGUCAGCUCGUGUCGUGAGAUGUUGGGUUAAGUCCCGCAACGAGCGCAACCCUUAAGCUUAGUUGCCAUCAUUAAGUUGGGCACUCUAAGUUGACUGCCGGUGACAAAUCGGAGGAAGGUGGGGAUGACGUCAAAUCAUCAUGCCCCUUAUGAUUUGGGCUACACACGUGCUACAAUGGACAAUACAAAGGGCAGCGAAACCGCGAGGUCAAGCAAAUCCCAUAAAGUUGUUCUCAGUUCGGAUUGUAGUCUGCAACUCGACUACAUGAAGCUGGAAUCGCUAGUAAUCGUAGAUCAGCAUGCUACGGUGAAUACGUUCCCGGGUCUUGUACACACCGCCCGUCACACCACGAGAGUUUGUAACACCCGAAGCCGGUGGAGUAACCUUUUAGGAGCUAGCCGUCGAAGGUGGGACAAAUGAUUGGGGUGAAGUCGUAACAAGGUAGCCGUAUCGGAAGGUGCGGCUGGAUCACCUCCUUUCUAA
Molecule: ribosomal RNA, 1557 nt
Filed under: Staphylococcus aureus
Lineage: Bacteria; Bacillati; Bacillota; Bacilli; Caryophanales; Staphylococcaceae
Also listed under: 1 other name
Description: 16S ribosomal RNA
Rfam family: Bacterial small subunit ribosomal RNA
Source: RNAcentral